This 440-nucleotide ribosomal RNA is filed under the name uncultured Janthinobacterium sp. RNAcentral's name for it is "bacterial SSU rRNA". It matches the Rfam family "Bacterial small subunit ribosomal RNA", at positions 358 to 790 of the family's 1533-position model. The record is from RNAcentral. Lineage: Bacteria; Pseudomonadati; Pseudomonadota; Betaproteobacteria; Burkholderiales; Oxalobacteraceae.
GGAAUUUUGGACAAUGGGCGAAAGCCUGAUCCAGCAAUGCCGCGUGAGUGAAGAAGGCCUUCGGGUUGUAAAGCUCUUUUGUCAGGGAAGAAACGGUGAGGGCUAAUAUCCCUUGCUAAUGACGGUACCUGAAGAAUAAGCACCGGCUAACUACGUGCCAGCAGCCGCGGUAAUACGUAGGGUGCAAGCGUUAAUCGGAAUUACUGGGCGUAAAGCGUGCGCAGGCGGUUUUGUAAGUCUGAUGUGAAAUCCCCGGGCUCAACCUGGGAAUUGCAUUGGAGACUGCAAGGCUAGAAUCUGGCAGAGGGGGGUAGAAUUCCACGUGUAGCAGUGAAAUGCGUAGAUAUGUGGAGGAACACCGAUGGCGAAGGCAGCCCCCUGGGUCAAGAUUGACGCUCAUGCACGAAAGCGUGGGGAGCAAACAGGAUUAGAUACCCCGG